Molecule: unclassified non-coding RNA, 284 nt
Filed under: Minimedusa polyspora
Lineage: Eukaryota; Fungi; Basidiomycota; Agaricomycetes; Cantharellales; Hydnaceae
Description: partial internal transcribed spacer region
Rfam family: Eukaryotic small subunit ribosomal RNA (bases 1-46)
Source: RNAcentral
AAGUCGUAACAAGGUUUCCGUAGGUGAACCUGCGGAAGGAUCAUUAAUGAAUUUUGGAGUUCUACUGUGCCUGCCGUUCAUUCGGAUGUGUGCACGUAGUCUCUAUAAAUCCUUAUCAACACCUGUGCACCUUUAAAAAGGGGGGAGUCUGAUUAAGCAUUUUAUGAUGCUUAUGACGAAUAACCUCUUUUCUUAUACAAACUCUUUUAAUGUCUAUUAGAACGUUCUCUGGCCGCAAGGCUAUAAAAUAUAAACAACUUUUAACAACGGAUCUCUUGGCUCUC